UGGGGAAUAUUGGACAAUGGGGGCAACCCUGAUCCAGCCAUGCCGCGUGAGUGAUGAAGGCCUUCGGGUUGUAAAGCUCUUUUGGCGGGGACGAUGAUUACGGUACCCGCAGAAUAAGCCCCGGCUAACUUCGUGCCAGCAGCCGCGGUAAGACGAAGGGGGCAAGCGUUGUUCGGAAUUACUGGGCGUAAAGGGCGCGUAGGCGGUUUGCUUAGUCAGGCGUGAAAGCCCUGGGCUUAACCUGGGAUGUGCGCUUGAUACUGGCAGGCUUGAGUUUGGGAGAGGUUGGUGGAAUUCCCAGUGUAGAGGUGAAAUUCGUAGAUAUUGGGCAGAACACCGGUGGCGAAGGCGGCCAACUGGACCACAACUGACGCUGAGGCGCGAAAGCGUGGGGAGCAAACA
Molecule: ribosomal RNA, 402 nt
Filed under: uncultured bacterium
Lineage: Bacteria
Description: bacterial SSU rRNA
Rfam family: Bacterial small subunit ribosomal RNA
Source: RNAcentral